Molecule: long non-coding RNA, 379 nt
Organism: Esox lucius (northern pike)
Lineage: Eukaryota; Metazoa; Chordata; Actinopteri; Esociformes; Esocidae
Source: Ensembl
CGAUUCUUCCCCCUAUCCUCUCGAAGCCACAGUCAAGAGGACUACCGUAGAGCACUUGUCUCUUGCCUUCUCAGCGCUACCUGCCUUCCAAUCAGCCCUGCAUAGCCAGUGGAGGCUAUGACAGCUCUGCUGUUCUAGAUCCCCAUGGAGUGCAGUCCGCCACUGGAUUCCAUUCUUUUGUAGAUACACAUUAGGAAAUGUCUUUUUAAGAGCGAAACUGAGAGAAAAUUUACACUGUCUACUCAGCUCUAUGGUUUUCUGACUUGUCUGAGACAGUGAGUUUUGGGAUCUGAGAGAGAACAUGUAAGCGGAUCCGGCCACGAAGAGUGAAUGUCUCUUAGUGGGGGGGCUAUGGUGGUCGUCGGAAGGACGGGUGAUC